Molecule: long non-coding RNA, 765 nt
Filed under: Brassica napus (rape)
Lineage: Eukaryota; Viridiplantae; Streptophyta; Magnoliopsida; Brassicales; Brassicaceae
Description: long non-coding RNA (BNAP_LNC025946)
Source: RNAcentral
UAGGGUUUAGAGUUAAAGGGUGGGGUUUAGGAUUUAGGGUUUAAGGUUUAGAGUUUAGGGUUUAGGGUUUAGAGUUUAGGGUUUAGAGUUUAGGGUUUAGGGUUUAGAGUUUAAGGUUUAGGGUUUAGGGUUUAGGGUUUAGAGUUUAGAGUUUAGAGUUUAGAGUUGAGAAAUGAGGUUUUGGAGAUAAGAUUUCAAAUUUUGAAAAAUAAAAAAAUUAAAAUUUUCAAAGGAUAAACUUUGUUAUUUUGGUCAUUUUAGUUUUUGAGUGCUAUUUUUGUGAUAUAAACUUAGAAAUGUGCUAUUUUGGAGAUUUGCCCAAAUAAUAAGUCAAAUCUCCAAAAUAGCGCUUUUAUAAAUUUAUGUCACAAAAAUAGCCCUCAAAAAUUAAAAUGACCAAAAUAGCAUUUUAUCUUUUAAAAAAUUUAAUUUUUUUCUUAUUUUUUGAAAUUUGAAAUCUUAUCCCAAAAUCCAACUCCCCAACUCUAAACCCUAAAACCUAAAUUCUAAACCCUAAACCCUAAAUCCUAAACUCUAAAUCCUAAACCCCACCCCUUAACUAUAAACCCUAAACCCUAAACCCUAAACUCCACCCCUAAACUCUAAACCCUAAACCCUAAACACUAAAUCCUAAACCCCACCUUUUAACUCUAAACUCUAAACCCCACCCCUUAACUAUAAACCCUAAACCCUAAACCCUAAACUCCACCCCUAAACUCUAAACUCUAAACCCUAAACACUAAACACUAAAUCCUAAACCCCACC